This 200-nucleotide ribosomal RNA is filed under the name uncultured bacterium. RNAcentral's name for it is "partial 16S ribosomal RNA". It matches the Rfam family "Bacterial small subunit ribosomal RNA", at positions 1300 to 1500 of the family's 1533-position model. The record is from RNAcentral.
GAAGGCUGAAAUUCGCCUUCAUGAAGCUGGAAUUGCUAGUAAUGGCAGGUCAGCAUACUGCCGUGAAUACGUUCCCGGGCCUUGUACACACCGCCCGUCACACCAUGAGAGUUGGGAAUACCCGAAGCCUGUGAGCUAACUUAUAGAGGCAGCAGUCGAAGGUAGAAUCAAUGAUUGGGGUGAAGUCGUAACAAGGUAAC